This 793-nucleotide long non-coding RNA is filed under the name Homo sapiens (human). RNAcentral's name for it is "non-protein coding lnc-C1orf159-1:4". The record is from RNAcentral. Lineage: Eukaryota; Metazoa; Chordata; Mammalia; Primates; Hominidae.
GGAGGCCAGGAGGCCAGCUCGGGGGAAACACUCGUGGAGACAGCCCCUCCAGGACGCCCUGCUCGACAGCCAGGGGCCGGCAAGGGUGUGGACAGAGGGCCCGGACCGGACCCAGACCCCGCACCGUAGGCCACGGCCCACCUGGGUUGCCCUCGCGUGACCACGGCCUCACCUGCUGUCUUCAUCUGCAGGACUGGGCCGGGGUCUGCAGGGCUCAGCUGAGCCCAUGAGCUCCCAGAGCUAACCCCUGAACACCCAGGCGGGCAAAGGGCUGAUGUCGGUAGUCCCCAUCCUGGAGGGGCAGGCUCUGCGCAUCUGCUCCUGGCAUGGCGCUGCGGCACCUCGCCCUCCUGGCUGGCCUUCUCGUGGGAGUCGCCAGCAAGUCCAUGGAGAACACGGCCCACAGGGGACAGAGGGCCACCCGAUGCUGACUCCAGAAGAGGCCGGAGCUGCGGACAUUGAGAUGUGCUCCCACGGCACCCCUCAGCCGCUGCUGCUCUGGGCGUGAGCCUGCCUGGCAGGCGCGUCCUGGAGUUUCACUGCCGUGUCCCCUCCAGGCCCAGCUGCCCGAGUGCUGUGUGGAUGUGGUGGGCGUCAACGCCAGCUGCCCAGGCGCAAGUCUGUGUGGUCCAGGCUGUUACAGGCGCUGGAACGCGGACGGGAGCGCCAGCUGCGUCCGCUGUGGGAACGGAACCCUCCCAGCCUACAACGGCUCCGAGUGUAGAAGCUUUGCUGGCCCGGGUGCGCCAUUCCCCAUGAACAGAAGCUCAGGGACCCCCGGGCGGCCACAUCC